GAUGAACGCUGGCGGCGUGCCUAAUACAUGCAAGUCGAGCGAACAGACGAGGAGCUUGCUCCUCUGACUUUAGCGGCGGACGGGUGAGUAACACGUGGAUAACCUACCUAUAAGACUGUUAUACCUUCGGGAAACCGGAGCUAAUACCGGAUAAUAUAUUGAACCUCAUGGUUCACUAGUGAAAUACGUUUUUUCUGUCACUUAUAGGUGGAUCCGCGCCGCAUUCGCUAGUUGGUAAGGUAACGGCUUACCAAGGCGACGAUGCGUAGCCGACCUGAGAGGGUGAUCGGCCACCCGGGAACUGAGAAACGGCACAGACUCCUACGGGAGGACGCAGUAGGGAAUCUUACGCAAGGGGGGAGAGGCUGACGGAGCAACGCCGCGUAAGUGAUGACGGUCCUCGGAUCGGAAAAUUAUGUUAUUAGGGAAGAACAAAUGUGCAAGUAACUAUGCACGUCUUGACGGUACCUAAUCAGAAAGCCACGGCUAACUACGUG
RNAcentral lists this ribosomal RNA (497 nucleotides) under uncultured bacterium. RNAcentral describes it as "partial 16S ribosomal RNA". It matches the Rfam family "Bacterial small subunit ribosomal RNA", at positions 28 to 507 of the family's 1533-position model. The record is from RNAcentral.